UUUCAAGACUCCUUUAUCCAUUGUUACUUACUCGACGAGGCAAGAGAUAAAGGGAAGCAGACGAACGAAUGACGUGAGUGGGUUUCACUCCCCAGCCAGCCCGUUAAAAGGCCCGUGGAGUCGCGCUCGAAGGGCCCUACUUUGCGGCGCGGAGGAGCAUCGUGGUGGCGAUUUGUAUCCGACGAUCGUUGAGCCGGCCUCCGAUUGGCUGGUUCGUACCUGCAAUGCGUCACUCGAGCUCGCAGCCGCCGCCGGGACGCGGUGCGGCUUCUGCCGUUGCUGGUCUGGCCGCGCUGUCCUGGCAACUGCGCCAGGCGGCAGAGUCGCUUUCCUUGCGCUUGGCUGGAGAACCUUCCUCCUCCACCCAUCCUUCUCUCCCACACUCACACACACACUUUCCCGCCCCUUGUGCAGGGGUAGGCGAAAACACCUUAGGCAGAUAAAGAAUGACGCUGAAAGACCCCAGGAAACCUGUACCCCGCGCUCAGCUUCUCGGCCUCGUGGAGGUCACACGUUUUUCAUUUUACUCCUUCACGAAACCAAUAAAAAUCUAGGUAUGUACCCAGAAGAACUGAAAGUAAGAUCUUGAAGAGCUUUUGGUAUGGCCAUAUUCAAGGCAGUGUUAUUCGCUAUAGCUAAAACUUGGAAGCAACACAAGAAUGGAUAAGCAAAAUGUGGUAUAUACAUACAAUGGAAUGUUAUUCAGCCUUGAAAAGGAAGAAAAUUCUACAACAUGCCACCACAUGAAUGAACCUUGAGGACAUUAUGUGGAGCCAGCUCUGUGGUUCCCGGCUCUCCCCAGCCAAACUGUGCUUACGUUUCAUAGGGUCACUGACCUUUCUUUCCUUGCUGCUCCAACAACUGCUAUCUUUGCAGCUCUUCUUCCAUCUGCUGCCUUGUUUUUUGUUCCAUGGCCAUUGUGGUUGAGUACGUCCUUUGUCUGAGCUGGGACAGACAACUCCUGGCUGAGAAGCAUCCCGGAAGGCUCAGAGCCGUCCCUCUGUGCAGUAUGCAACCACUCAACACCAUCUGGGGGACACACUAGCCAAGAUGCUCUGAGGUAGGGCACUCAGGGUUGCCAGCCUUAUCAGUGAAAUAUGGAAAGACAGAAAUAAAGAAGCAAUUUCAAGA
Molecule: long non-coding RNA, 1131 nt
Organism: Neofelis nebulosa (Clouded leopard)
Lineage: Eukaryota; Metazoa; Chordata; Mammalia; Carnivora; Felidae
Exons: 3
Source: RefSeq, a predicted model, not a curated record